Non-coding RNA from Bos taurus (domestic cattle), 57 nucleotides. NCBI's taxonomy places the organism in Eukaryota, Metazoa, Chordata, Mammalia, Artiodactyla, Bovidae. The record is from Rfam.
UGGCUCAGAGGUUAAAGCGUCUGCCUGGAAUGCAGGAGACCCAGGUUCGAUCCCUGG